RNAcentral lists this long non-coding RNA (1601 nucleotides) under Homo sapiens (human). RNAcentral describes it as "HSALNT0240140". The record is from RNAcentral. Lineage: Eukaryota; Metazoa; Chordata; Mammalia; Primates; Hominidae.
CAAAGUGCUGGGAUUACAGGCGUGAGCCGCCGCGCCAGCCUAAUUUUUUUUCAAAAUUUUGGUUUUGCUUUAGGAGAAUUGCUUGAACCUGAGAGGUGGAGGUUGCAGUGAGCCAAGAUUGCAUCAGUGCACUCCAGCCCAGGCAACAGUGCAAGACUAUGUCAAAAAAAGAAAGAAAGAAAAAGGAAGGAAGGAAGAAAGGAAGGAAGGAAGGAAGGAAAGAAGGAAGGCAGGCAGGCAGUCAGGCAGGCAAGCAGCUUAUUUGGGAGGUGAUCCCCGGAAACACUGGCAGAGAGAGAAGUCAGGUAGGGAAGUGAAAGCAGUCAAUACAGAGUGCAAUUUCAAGCCAGCUACCAUUAUGAGCUUCAUCCCAAUAAGGAGCUCAACAACUCUAUCCAAUGACUUCUCUCUCCUUUCCCACAAAACAUCUGUGACCAGACACUUGGCUUAACCUCCACAUUUCUCUGCAUCUUUAUAUAGCUUCUCCUCCUUUUAUGAUAACUCAGAGGAGCAGAUAUCCCCUUCCUCUGAACAAAUGCCUCCACUUCAACUCUUCAUCUACUCCCUUUCUACCCCUCCAAAACCUUGCUCCGCCAGAGGCCCCCUGCCUUUCUCUACUCCCGCUCCCUCUUCAUCCUCAUUCCUUGAUAACACUUUGCAACCUGACUUUCAUUUCCCCUUCUUCCUCCCAUGCACUGAGGCUUGGGGGCUUUACUAAGAUGCUUUUCCCAGAGGAUCCUUCCUCGAGUUUCCGAUACACGUCUAUCCACCUUGUUUCAUAAACAGUCUAUUAUUAUUCACUGCUAAAAAACUCUCAUCUCAAAAUGUUAAGGAUCAUCAUAGCUACAUAACAAAGUUGUGGUAAGGAUUCGAGGUUAAAUACACUGUCUAGCAGAGCCUGGCACAAAGAGGCAGUCAGUACACAGCAGCAACCAAUACCAUCACCAAGCUUAAUUAUUGGAGUUUGCAACCCAUGGGUGAUCAGGACAGAAUAUGACAAGAAGGAGAGCUGUUAGAGGCAGAAGAGUAGUAGUUUGGGAUCAUUUUACAGAACUGCAGGAAGUCAGUGUCACCAGAGUUCUUGAGAUUUCCCAGUCUCUUGGACAUUGGUGGUGAUGGGCGUUCUUAAGGAUGACGACUGUAGUUAGAAGAGCUAGUUCCACAAUCAUCACAACAGUUUUUCCCUCUUAAAUAGAAAGUGCUGGUUUUCCAUGUCAAUACUAAAUGUUCAGUAACAACUGGCUGCAGUUGACAUUCCCAAGCAAAAGCAGGGGUCAAGCCCUAUCCAGUAGAGGAACCAAAGCAGAACCAGCCUUGCGUGGUUGGUCAUCCGGCCACUGAACUUUCUGCCACAAAGUCAAAGAGGUUUGGGACUAGCACGAGAAUAGAACAGCAGUGGGAUGAGUAGACAAGGGAGCCCACACACAGACCCGCAGGAAUGUACAAAUGAAGUACAUGGGCACCGAGGCAUUUCAAAGCCGUGAGGAGAGGAUGUCUUGAUUAUUAAAUCAAUGGUGCAGGGAUGAUUGACUAAGGGCUUGGAAAGGCAUAAAGUUCCCGUCUGUGCCUCACAUCCCAUGUCCAAAUAAGAUUCAACGUCU